GAUGAACGCUAGCGGCAGGCCUAACACAUGCAAGUCGAGGGAGAGGUUACCUUCGGGUACCCAAAACCGGCGCACGGGUGCGUAACGCGUAUACAAUCUGCCUUUCACAUAGGGAUAGCCCGAAGAAAUUUGGAUUAAUACCUAAUGGUAUAUAAGAGCGGCAUCGUUUUUAUAUUAAAGCUACGGUGGUAAAGAUGAGUAUGCGUUCUAUUAGCUAGUUGGAGAGGUAACGGCUCCCCAAGGCGACGAUAGAUAGGGGUUCUGAGAGGGAUGUCCCCCACACUGGUACUGAGAUACGGACCAGACUCCUACGGGAGGCAGCAGUGAGGAAUAUUGGACAAUGGUCGGAAGACUGAUCCAGCCAUGCCGCGUGCAGGAUGAAGGUCCUAUGGAUUGUAAACUGCUUUUGUAAGGGAAGAAUAAGGAGUACGUGUACUUUGAUGACGGUACCUUACGAAUAAGCAUCGGCUAACUCCGUG
Molecule: ribosomal RNA, 479 nt
Filed under: uncultured bacterium
Lineage: Bacteria
Description: partial 16S ribosomal RNA
Rfam family: Bacterial small subunit ribosomal RNA
Source: RNAcentral